RNAcentral lists this ribosomal RNA (207 nucleotides) under uncultured bacterium. RNAcentral describes it as "partial 16S ribosomal RNA". It matches the Rfam family "Bacterial small subunit ribosomal RNA", at positions 568 to 774 of the family's 1533-position model. The record is from RNAcentral.
UGCGUAGGCGGUCGGAUAAGUCUGACGUGAAAUCUUCGAGCUCAACUCGGAAACUGCAUCGGAAACUAUCCGGGCUAGAGGUUUGGAUGGGAGACUGGAAUUCUCGGUGUAGCAGUGAAAUGCGUAGAUAUCGAGAGGAACACCAGUGGCGAAGGCGAGUCUCUGGACAAAUCCUGACGCUGAGGCACGAAAGCUAGGGAGCAAACA